RNAcentral lists this ribosomal RNA (490 nucleotides) under uncultured bacterium. RNAcentral describes it as "bacterial SSU rRNA". It matches the Rfam family "Bacterial small subunit ribosomal RNA", at positions 30 to 514 of the family's 1533-position model. The record is from RNAcentral.
AUUGAACGCUGGCGGAAUGCUUUACACAUGCAAGUCGAGCGGCAGCGCGGGGCAACCUGGCGGCGAGCGGCGAACGGGUGAGUAAUACAUCGGAACGUGCCCAGACGUGGGGGGAUAACUACUCGAAAGAGUGGCUAAUACCGCAUACGAUCUACGGAUGAAAGCGGGGGAUCGCAAGACCUCGCGCGUCUGGAGCGGCUGAUGGCAGAUUAGGUAGUUGGUGGGAUAAAAGCCUACCAAGCCAACGAUCUGUAGCUGGUCUGAGAGGAUGAUCAGCCACACUGGGACUGAGACACGGCCCAGACUCCUACGGGAGGCAGCAGUGGGGAAUUUUGGACAAUGGGCGAAAGCCUGAUCCAGCCAUCCCGCGUGCAGGAUGAAGGCCCUCGGGUUGUAAACUGCUUUGUACAGAACGAAAAAGCUACUGGCUAAUACCUGGAGUCCAUGACGGUACUGUAAGAAUAAGCACCGGCUAACUACGUGCCAGCAG